UGCAAGUCGAGCGGUACAUUUCUAGCUUGCUAGAAGAUGACGAGCGGCGGACGGGUGAGUAAUGCUUGGGAACAUGCCUUGAGGUGGGGGACAACAGUUGGAAACGACUGCUAAUACCGCAUAAUGUCUACGGACCAAAGGGGGCUUCGGCUCUCGCCUUUAGAUUGGCCCAAGUGGGAUUAGCUAGUUGGUGAGGUAAUGGCUCACCAAGGCAACGAUCCCUAGCUGGUUUGAGAGGAUGAUCAGCCACACUGGAACUGAGACACGGUCCAGACUCCUACGGGAGGCAGCAGUGGGGAAUAUUGCACAAUGGGCGCAAGCCUGAUGCAGCCAUGCCGCGUGUGUGAAGAAGGCCUUCGGGUUGUAAAGCACUUUCAGUCAGGAGGAAAGGUUAACGGUUAAUACCCGUUAGCUGUGACGUUACUGACAGAAGAAGCACCGGCUAACUCCGUGCCAGCAGCCGCGGUAAUACGGAGGGUGCGAGCGUUAAUCGGAAUUACUGGGCGUAAAGCGUACGCAGGCGGUUUGUUAAGCGAGAUGUGAAAGCCCCGGGCUCAACCUGGGAACUGCAUUUCGAACUGGCAAACUAGAGUGUGAUAGAGGUGGUAGAAUUUCAGGUGUAGCGGUGAAAUGCGUAGAGAUCUGAAGGAAUACCGAUGGCGAAGGCAGCCACCUGGGUCAACACUGACGCUCAUGUACGAAAGCGUGGGGAG
This 713-nucleotide ribosomal RNA is filed under the name Pseudoalteromonas sp. Its description in RNAcentral is "bacterial SSU rRNA". It matches the Rfam family "Bacterial small subunit ribosomal RNA", at positions 56 to 768 of the family's 1533-position model. Lineage: Bacteria; Pseudomonadati; Pseudomonadota; Gammaproteobacteria; Alteromonadales; Pseudoalteromonadaceae. The record is from RNAcentral.